GACGAACGCUGGCGGCGUGCUUAACACAUGCAAGUCGAACGGAAAGGCCCUGCUUUUGCGGGGUGCUCGUGUGGCGCACGGGUGAGUAACACGUGUGUAUCCUGCACUUGACUUUGGGAUAACUCUAGGGAAAUGCGACUCAUACCGGAUAGGAGCUACUGCUGCAUGGUGGGGGUUGGAAAGUUUCGGCGGUUGGGGAUGGACUUGAGGCUUAUGAGCUUGUUGGGGGGGUAGUGGCUUACAAAGGCUUUGACGGGUAGCCUGCCUGGGAAGGUGACCAGGCUCCAGAGUACUGGGAGAGGGACCAGUCGGCAACGUGAGGCAGCGGGGGAAAAUAUUGCGGAAUAGGCGGGAGCCAGAGACAACGACGCCGCGUGCGUAAUGACGUCCUUCGAGGUGUAAACCACUUUCGCCUGUGACGAGGCGGGAGUGACGGUAAUGGGUAAAGAAGCACCGGCUAACUACGUG
This 468-nucleotide ribosomal RNA is filed under the name uncultured bacterium. Its description in RNAcentral is "partial 16S ribosomal RNA". It matches the Rfam family "Bacterial small subunit ribosomal RNA", at positions 28 to 507 of the family's 1533-position model. The record is from RNAcentral.